UCUGGUGGCGAUAGCAAAGAGGUCACACCUGUUCCCAUGCCGAACACAGAAGUUAAGCUCUUUAGCGCCGAUGGUAGUUGGGCUUA
RNAcentral lists this ribosomal RNA (86 nucleotides) under Mammaliicoccus sciuri. Lineage: Bacteria; Bacillati; Bacillota; Bacilli; Caryophanales; Staphylococcaceae. The record is from RNAcentral.